This is a long non-coding RNA of Oxyura jamaicensis (ruddy duck), 1972 nucleotides long. RefSeq lists it as uncharacterized. The transcript has 2 exons. NCBI's taxonomy places the organism in Eukaryota, Metazoa, Chordata, Aves, Anseriformes, Anatidae. The record is from RefSeq and is a predicted model, not a curated record.
CUGUAAUUAUCUGUCCACCUCUCGUUCCUAUAUUGCAAAUACAAAUUCUGCAUAUAGAAUUCUAGAAACGCUGGAGUUUUCUGGAUAACGUAAUAGUUUCUUUUAAGUUACACUGAAAUAACUUGGGAAUAUCAAGUUCUCCUAGUGAUUUUUUUUUUUUUCUGUGCAUAUACACAUAUAAUGCUAUGUAUUUAUAUAUCUGACUUUUCCAGCUUGAAACUCUUACAAAAAGAGUUCUGUAGCAGAUCCAUCCUGAAAAAUAUCACCAGAAGUUGAAAUACAGCUGUAAUACGGUUGUGCCUAAAAUAUACCGCAGGUUUUCAGAAUAAUGCUUUAAAUGUCUAUUGAACUAGCAGUUUGAAUGCUGGCCUUGCGUCCCAUUCAGCCCUCAAGAUGAGUAUUGCUGGCAGCGUAUGAAUAGCAUGCUGUAGGUAGAAAAAUUUAUCUUGGAGGCAAUGAUGAUUUUUGUGUGAAGAAAUGAUGUUUUUAGGAGAGUCUGCCAUGUAUACGGAAUACCUAAAUUGGUAGUUAAGAUUGGAAGCUCAUGUAAGAACUCAGAAGCGGCAUUUUAAUAUUGAACAAAACAGUCUCUGGGCAGUAAUGGCUUUCCUGCAGUUUAACACUCCUACACAGUUUACGAUCUGCACCUGCUUAUUUGCGUUGGCAUCAAGAGAACAUAAUAAAUGGGAAAACCAGAGGUUUUAACUUUCAUGUCACCAAAUCUGUGCCAGUACUGGUGGCCUUAUGUGACUUGGUGGUUUGGAUCCAGUUUUGUGAUCACUGAGGUCAUAGAAGGGAAAAAAAAAGAACCUGUCUCUUUUGGAAAUUCAGAACUGUUUCUGGCAGUGUACGUUUUUUUUCUUGGUAGUAGAUUUCAUGGGACAAGUUUGGAGACAGUGUUCAAAUAGCUUGAAGAAAAGUCAUCUUGUCAGGGGCCCCUAGCACAAGAAGGACGUAGAAGUAUUAGAAGGAGAUCAGAGGAAGGCCACAACGAUGAUCAAGGCCUGGAGCACCUCUCCUAUGGAGACAGACUGAGGGAGCUGGGGUGGUUCAGCAUUUAUGCACGUUUUUUUUCUGAUUUCUUCUAUGGAAAAGUUACAGUACUUCAGUCUUCUGUCAGUCUAGGACUUCUCAUCCACAGAAGCUCAGCUAGUUGGAUGAUUUUUCGAUUAUUAAAUAAGGCUUUGAAGAAUCCACAGAUACCACGCAGGAUAGUCCUAAUUAUGUAGUGAUAAACUAAAUUUUAGAACAUGGAUAAUUUAAGUUGAAGUUGCCAUAAAAUUCCCCAGAAUUUUAAUGUGGUAUAUUCUGCCUUUUUGCUUUGCUUAAUUCACAUUACUAUAAAAUGUUUGGCUGUGUACCAGUUUACACAUAUGAAAGAUUUCUUCCACUUAGAGGCACUGUCUGCACCUAACACCGAGAGCUCAGUGUUGAGUUUUGGGUUUGGUUUCUCUAAGGAGAGCUGAGAUGUACCUUCUGAAAACAUUUCGGACGUGAAGAUAAUUGAGGAGAGAAGACAGUUUGAUCCUCUCCUGGAAGUAAUAGUAUUCAUAGUCAAUCGGAUAUGUUCCAUUCACAAUUUUGAGGAGAUUACUGAGAACUAAUAUAUGGGAAAUGUGUAGAUUGGUACUUCAACAGAACCUGUUUUCAGAAUAAAGUUCUAGUUAAGACAAAAGAAUCAUCCUGGAUGGAAUAAUUGGCUUUAUAGUAAUCAGUGUGAUCUGAACGGUGUUUUGUUCUACUGGGAGUUUAUUGUCCUCUCAUAUUUUCAAUUAUAUUUUUUUUGCAUGAAGGAAAGCUUUACAGUUGCUUGCCAUAUCGAAUGCUCUAUAGUCUUGCCUGAUUUUUUUACAUACUAUGUAGUUCUACAUGAGCUUUCUUUUAAUAAGUAGCUUCAAUAAAAUACUGCCAUCAGCAGAGUGAAUGUGUAGCUUGUAGUAUCUCUUACGCAUGGCAGUACCUGUGGGGAUUU